RNAcentral lists this ribosomal RNA (688 nucleotides) under Bathyacmaea nipponica. RNAcentral describes it as "bacterial SSU rRNA". It matches the Rfam family "Eukaryotic small subunit ribosomal RNA", at positions 98 to 716 of the family's 1831-position model. RNAcentral also lists the same sequence under 2 other names. Lineage: Eukaryota; Metazoa; Mollusca; Gastropoda; Acmaeidae. The record is from RNAcentral.
UCAUUAGUCAGAUAAGGUUCCUUGGCGAAAAGCGGGUCGGUUUUAAUGGAUAACUGUGGUAAUUCUAGAGCUAAUACAUGCAACGCACCGUGGUCCCCCUCUCUCUCUUCGGAAACUCAGGGGGGGAAACGGCAUUUAUUCUCUGGACCAGAUCGCCCUAGCCUGCGAAGCUACCGUUAAAAGUAGCGACGGGGCGAAGCGACAAGUGUUGAAAUCCGAAUAACUGUGCCGAUCGCGGGGUCUUUCCGGGCCCCCGACGACUUUGCCAUGAAGUGUCUGUCCCAUCAAUUGGCGAUGGUCGGCGACCUGCCUACCACGGUGUUGACGGGUAACGGGGAAUCAGGGUUCGAUUCCGGAGAGGGAGCCUGCGAAACGGCUACCACCUCCAAGGAGGGCAGCAGGCGCGCAACUUACCCAAUCCCGACACGGGGAGGUAGUGACGAAAAAUAACGUGGCGGGGCCCUUUCGUGGUCGCCGCGGGCGGAAUGAGCGCAAUUUAAAAGAGUGUGCGAGGAGCUAUUGGAGGGCAAGCCUGGUGCCAGCAGCCGCGGUAAUUCCAGCUCCAAUAGCCUAUAUCGGAGUUGCUGCGGUUAAAAAGCUCGUCGUUGGAUCUCGGAGGCGGCACGGUCGGGCGCGAUACGCUGCGGGUCCGACCGGCGAUUUCUCGGCCGUCCCUAACCGGCGCGCG